ACAGGUGGAAAUUAGACCUUCCCAAACGCUGAUGAAAAUACAUGAGCUAUAUUGUCCUCUUGGGGGUUAUGGAGUAACUAAACCCCACACUCAACUCCAUCGGCUUCUGUCACCUUCCUAGAGCUCAUUUCCAAAAGGAAAUAACACCUGCCCCAAAUCUCCACCUGCCACGGCCACCUCUCUGAACCCCCAGCUGCCAGGGGCUGACAGUAAGUCACAGAAGCAUAUUGAUUUCUCAAGGGAAAGAUGAGCAAAGUGAAUACAGAACUCCUCCGUGCACAGGAUGAAAAACCUUGUCCAGGAAGGAAAAUGAGAGGCCACGUAUUCCAGAGGGCAGGCCUACGAAAUGGUGGAGCCCUGCCUGGACCUGCAUCAUCACUGAAUGAACAGAAUGACCAACACCCCGGUUUGCCUUGGGACGCUGGAGUUCCGGGUGUCAGGACUGUCAGCAAGAUCCUGACAUGGUGAUGACGAAGAAUGAAACAAUAAGAAGUUGAAUUACAUUGUACAAGACGCGAAUGUCACGGAGAAUACCUGAUUUCACAUUUUCAUCAUCACAAAAGGCUGGUUUCCCCAGCGUCUGAUCUUACGUGUGGUAUAUAUUAACAUUCUGAAUGUCUUGAAUUUAAGAGGUGAAAAAAAUACUAAUAUUAUCUACUUUCUUUUUUUAAAAUUUUUUUUAAUGUUUAUUGAUUUUUGAGAGAGACAGAGACAGGAUGCGAGGGGGUUAGGGGCAGAGAGAGAGGGAGACGCAGAAUCCG
This is a long non-coding RNA of Felis catus (domestic cat), 761 nucleotides long. RefSeq lists it as uncharacterized. The record is from RefSeq and is a predicted model, not a curated record. The transcript has 3 exons. NCBI's taxonomy places the organism in Eukaryota, Metazoa, Chordata, Mammalia, Carnivora, Felidae.